GCCGAACGCUGGCGGCGUGCCUAAUACAUGCAAGUAGGACGCAGUUGCGAACGGGUGAGUAACGCGUAGGUAACUACCUAUUAGAGGGGGAUAACUGUUGGAAACGAUAGCUAAUACCGCAUACUAGUAGAUGGACCUUCGUUGUAUUAGCUAGUAGGUAGGGUAAUGGCCUACCUAGGCAACGAUACAUAGCCGAGCUGAGAGGGUGAACGGCGACACUGGGACUUAGACACCGCCCCGACUCCGACGGGAGGCAGCAGGAGGGAAUCGUCGGAAAGUGGGCGAACCCUGACCGAGCAACGCCGCGUGAGUGAAGAAGGUUUUCGGAUCGUAAAGCUCUGUUGUUAAGGAAGCGGUACUUAACCAGAAAGGGACGGCUAACUACGUGCCAGCAGCCGCGGUAAUUC
This 407-nucleotide ribosomal RNA is filed under the name uncultured bacterium. RNAcentral's name for it is "partial 16S ribosomal RNA". It matches the Rfam family "Bacterial small subunit ribosomal RNA", at positions 28 to 526 of the family's 1533-position model. The record is from RNAcentral.